UACGAAGGGGGCUAGCGUUGCUCGGAAUUACUGGGCGUAAAGGGCGCGUAGGCGGACAGUUUAGUCAGAGGUGAAAGCCCAGGGCUCAACCUUGGAAUAGCCUUUGAUACUGGCUGUCUUGAGUACGGGAGAGGUGUGUGGAACUCCGAGUGUAGAGGUGAAAUUCGUAGAUAUUCGGAAGAACACCAGUGGCGAAGGCGACACACUGGCCCGUUACUGACGCUGAGGCGCGAAAGCGUGGGGAG
RNAcentral lists this ribosomal RNA (245 nucleotides) under uncultured Phenylobacterium sp. RNAcentral describes it as "partial 16S ribosomal RNA". It matches the Rfam family "Bacterial small subunit ribosomal RNA", at positions 524 to 768 of the family's 1533-position model. Lineage: Bacteria; Pseudomonadati; Pseudomonadota; Alphaproteobacteria; Caulobacterales; Caulobacteraceae. The record is from RNAcentral.